AACGAACGCUGGCGGCAUGCCUAACACAUGCAAGUCGAACGAGACCUUCGGGUCUAGUGGCGCACGGGUGCGUAACGCGUGGGAACCUGCCCUUAGGUUCGGAAUAACUCCCCGAAAGGGGUGCUAAUACCGGAUAAUGUCUUCGGACCAAAGAUUUAUCGUCUUUGGAUGGGCCCGCGUUGGUUUAGCUAGUUGGUAGGGUAAAAGCCUACCAAGGCGACGAUCCAUAGCUGGUCUGAGAGGAUGAUCAGCCACACUGGGUCUGAGACACGGCGCAGAAUCCUACGGGAAGCAGCAGUGGGGAAUAUUGGACAAUGGGCGAAAGCCUGAUCCAGCAAUGCCACGUGAGUGAUGAAGGCCUUAGGGUUGUAAAGCUCUUUUACCCGGGAUGAUAAUGACAGUACCGGGAGAAUAAGCUCCGGCUAACUCCGUG
RNAcentral lists this ribosomal RNA (433 nucleotides) under uncultured bacterium. Its description in RNAcentral is "partial 16S ribosomal RNA". It matches the Rfam family "Bacterial small subunit ribosomal RNA", at positions 29 to 507 of the family's 1533-position model. The record is from RNAcentral.